UGAGCGUGAUAUUAUUAAAUUCCUUUCAACCAUUGGACCACAUCCUUCUUUUUACUUUUCAUCAUCUUCUAAUUCUAAUGCUUUCGUUUCCCCGUGAUUAAUGCUCACUUCUCUUCAACUUCUUAUUCUCAAAAGGGUGGUUUAAUUCACCAUACACAAUGCUAUCAAAUUUUUCAAAACCAGGCCCCGCAAAUAAGAGAAAGACUAACAGAAAAAUACAAAUUAAGAAAAAAGAAAGAAAGACAGUGAUCUAUCUUGGUCAUAUGAGACAAAAAAGAUGACACUGGAAACAGCAAAACUAGCUACUUAGAACCGGAGAUGGUCCAAAAUGUAGCCUAAUAAAAAACGUACAAAAGAGGGAGACAAAAAAUUAAAAAGGAACCACAUACUUUUAUUAUGCUUUUGCUAGCUAUACGUUUGCCAUCUUCCCAUCGCUCUUAUCUCUACGCAAUCCUCAACCUUGGAGAGACGACGAACAACGACACAACAUGUCUGUAUAUAUAUACAUACAUGCACAUACCCUCAGAGUAACUAUAGAUCAAGACUAUAACCUCCUACACUCUAUCAUUAUAUAUUUUUACACCCUCUUAUCGUGCACCUCCACCAGUUGAAGCUGCCAGCAUGAUCUGAGUUUACCUUCUUUAAUGGUAAGAACAGAUCAUGUGGCUGCUUCACCUGUUGAAUGGAAGCAUAUACAAACCCUAAUUCGCUUUCUCAUCCGCUGCUAUCCUACAACCCUAGAAAAAGAUAAGUGCAUGUUUUCUGGAUGGCUGAAUUGCUGUUCUUGUGUUGGCUAAAUCUCAAGAUUGUAUUCGAAUCGGCUUGAUUCUUGCAAAAAAGAAACAAGAUAGGAUGGUGGCAUGUGUUCAGGGUUCAAGUCACAGUGAGGCGUUUCGAUCUACAACAAGUGAAUAUAGAUGGCACAGUUAAACAUUAAUUGGAUUAAUUGUUUUUCUCUUCCUCAACCCCCUCUCAAGGUAAACCUAUGUCACUUUCAGUCCAUCAAUCAAUUCAGAUCCUUGUUUCAUAAUCAUGGAUGCUUGUGCUUACACAUCCAAGAUCAACCAAAGUCAACCUUGUGAUUUAGUUCUUACAGAUAUAUAAAUGGAAUGAACUUCACCAACUAAGACUUCAAUGAGAGGAUUGGUGAAAUCUAAGUGUCAAAAAUCACAACUUGGGAUGAAUUGAUGUACAAGAGACAAAGAUGAAACAGAGAGUUCAACAAACGAGCUGUGAACAGUCUCACAACCUGUGGAAUUUGCUUCUAAAUGCAGUUGCAAAACAGAGAGCUUCACAAGUGAGUUGUGGUUUCUACCACAACCUAUUGGGGAUUUUUUCCAUGGGCUGUGAAAGUUUCCAAGAGCAGUUACUAAUCUCUUUUAUGACUGAUUUAAAGAGAUUAAAAUUAAGGAGAAAUUGAAGGAAGUUAUUGAAGGGAAGUAACUACUCUCCUAAAAAAGAGGAAUUAGUGGAAAUGGUGGGGAGUUGGAAAAAAAAACGUGGAAAGGGAGAUAAAAGUUGGAAUUCACGUGCAGGGCCUUCUUCAUCUUCUUCUUCUGCAGCUUUUUCAUACUUUUGUUUUUGAACUUCCUUUACAUUAUGCAGAACUAAUUUUCCAUUUGUUAGAGGAUUGAUGUAGUACUUUUGAUUAUACUUUCUGAACAUUUUCAAUUGAUGUUGUUUAAUUUUAAUUA
Molecule: long non-coding RNA, 1694 nt
Organism: Vigna radiata var. radiata (mung bean)
Lineage: Eukaryota; Viridiplantae; Streptophyta; Magnoliopsida; Fabales; Fabaceae
Exons: 5
Source: RefSeq, a predicted model, not a curated record